RNAcentral lists this ribosomal RNA (228 nucleotides) under uncultured bacterium. RNAcentral's name for it is "partial 16S ribosomal RNA". It matches the Rfam family "Bacterial small subunit ribosomal RNA", at positions 118 to 348 of the family's 1533-position model. The record is from RNAcentral.
UGAGCAAUCUGCCCUUCUCAUCGGAAUAAGCGUUGGAAACGACGUCUAAUGCCGAAUACGACCUCCUUUCGCAUGAUCGGAGGUGGAAAGCUCCGGCGGUGAAGGAUGAGCUCGCGGCCUAUCAGCUUGUUGGUGAGGUAAUAGCUCACCAAGGCGACGACGGGUAGCCGGCCUGAGAGGGUGACCGGCCACACUGGGACUGAGACACGGCCCAGACUCCUAGGGAGG